UCCGGUUUGUCACCGGCAGUAUCAUUAGAGUGCCCAACUGAAUGUAGCAACUAAUGACAAGGGUUGCGCUCGUUGCGGGACUUAACCCAACAUCUCACGACCCGAGCUGACGACAGCCAUGCAGCACCUGUGUUCCGAUUCCCUUUCGGGCACUCCCAGCUCUCACCAGGAUUCCGGACAUGUCAAGGGUAGGUAAGGUUGUUCGCGUUGCAUCGAAUUAAUCCACAUCAUCCACCGCUUGUGCGGGUCCCCGUCAAUUCCUUUGAGUUUUAACCUUGCGGCCGUACUCCCCAGGCGGUCAACUUCACGCGUUAGCUUCGUUACCAAGGAAUUGCUUCCCCGACAACCAGUUGACAUAGUUUAGGGCGUGGACUAC
Molecule: unclassified non-coding RNA, 376 nt
Filed under: uncultured Gammaproteobacteria bacterium
Lineage: Bacteria; Pseudomonadati; Pseudomonadota; Gammaproteobacteria
Description: contains 16S-23S intergenic spacer region
Source: RNAcentral